CUGCAAAAGCAAACACAAACACAACUGCAAUGAAGGCGAGGAAGAGAGAUACUCAAAGUUUAUACGAUAAAUCAAGAACAGAAUAUUCAUCGUAAGUGACGGGAAUCGACCAUAGAUAAACAACCUGUUUGGCUAACUUAUUUU
This is a long non-coding RNA of Drosophila navojoa, 144 nucleotides long. The record is from RefSeq and is a predicted model, not a curated record. Lineage: Eukaryota; Metazoa; Arthropoda; Insecta; Diptera; Drosophilidae.